This is a long non-coding RNA of Oxyura jamaicensis (ruddy duck), 1170 nucleotides long. RefSeq lists it as uncharacterized. Lineage: Eukaryota; Metazoa; Chordata; Aves; Anseriformes; Anatidae. The transcript has 3 exons. The record is from RefSeq and is a predicted model, not a curated record.
AUUCAUGGUCCUGUGUUUCUAUUACAGUGGAGAUAAGAUAUUCCCUGUUCAGGCCCAGAAUUUUUCUGCUGUGGUGUUUGGCUGAAAUAAAUGUAACUUUCUGUGAUACUGUUUGCUAUUCAGUUGCUUUUUCUUGAGGUUUCUGUCAUCUGUUUUUAUUUUUUGGCCUGUUGACAUCCUUCUGAACAGUGUAUAGUCAACCCUUGAGCUUAUCAUCUGUUGUCUCUACCCUCCAGCUUUUCACCUGCUCCCCACUGGCUUGGUAUAGUUGGCAAACUUGCUGAGUGCACUCUUACCUAUUGUCUGUAAUAAUAAUAGAAACACUAAAACAGUAAUGACACCAAUAUUUACUGCAAGAAACAUGUAAUAAUUAGGAUUUUUGUGCCACCAAUCAUAACCCUUUGAACCUCAAUGUGUUCCAUGUCUGCCAUGCCAGACCUCAUCAUGAAGAGCUAACUGUGGUUAUGCACCAUCAACUCUUCAGUAAAUCUGCGCUGGAUGUUACAACUGCUUCGUGAUUCUUGUGCCUGGGUAUUGGAUGUAGGGAGGAUUUGCUCUGUAAUCUCCCCAGGAGCUUGAGGACAGGAUGGUCUUACCAGUCAGUAAUUUCCAAGAUCCUCCUGGCCCUUCAAUAUAAAUGUCACUUUCAAAACUUUCAGUCAUCUGGAACAUCCCUCUACUUCAGUGAGAUUCUCAAAAUGAUAGCUCCUUGAUUGCAGUGCUGCCCCCUUCUCACUGAGCUCCCUUGGAUGCACGCACCUGGUCCUGUGGACUGCUUCAUAAGCAAAGGUGCUGUGAUUAUUGGAACUGAUCUAAACAUAAAAACAGGAAAUCCAAAUUUGGUGGAAGACUAAAUUGCUUUUGACCUAAGUUAAUAGUACCUGCAGUGGAAAUCAUUAGAAGCUAUUGCAGGUAAUUUUUGUGUGCUGUUCAAGGAGAUGCAGUCCAUGAAGUCUGUGCUUCUGGAACUUAGCUGUCUAGUGCAAGCUUGACAGAACACAAGCUGUUUUCAUCAAGGCUAAUGUUUAGCUGAAUGUUACAUUGCUGAAAGAAACUUUAGCACUUACAUCCAUUUUGAUAUGGGCCUGAAACAGGGACAUGUGCUUAACUUUUCCAGUCCUCGUUUACGUUAAAUUGGCUUAGACUGGAGAAAAAUGUCUAAUCACUUGU